UGGGGUAUCUGUACAGAUAUUAAACUGAAUUAAAUAUUUCCAUUUGGUUCAAUGACAGUAACUUAUAAGAAUGGUUGAUUAGAGAUUGCUGGGAGAUAAUUGCUGGGCACCAAGCCACUUUUUAGUAAUAGUUUCAAAAUUUACAGUGAUUGGAAUAGUGAGUUUAUAUUUGGUGGUGCAUGAAAAAACAAGGAGAUACAUCAUAAAAACCUUGGAAACAAUAGAAUCAUUAUCUUUUAUAGCUUAUAAAAUGGUGGGCUGAGCUUCUGAGUCUACAAAAUUGAGUGGGAAACCUUACACAUAGUGAGUUUACCAAAGCUAGUGUCACCUCAAUGGUUUUCCAGGCCUCAUUGCCCACAUUUUGUUUUAAACUUCUUUGGGUCCUAGGAAGGUGCCCCCUUGGACAACAAUUAAGAAAAGCCCAGACCACAUUUCUAUCAUUCAGGCCUUCUUUCACUUCCUUUUCAAGGCUACAUUCAUUUCUCUUACCUGUGUCUGUAGCGAUAGAUGGUAUUUUCUUUUCUUUUUUUUUUUUAG
Molecule: long non-coding RNA, 537 nt
Filed under: Homo sapiens (human)
Lineage: Eukaryota; Metazoa; Chordata; Mammalia; Primates; Hominidae
Description: HSALNT0129391
Source: RNAcentral